RNAcentral lists this ribosomal RNA (466 nucleotides) under uncultured bacterium. RNAcentral's name for it is "partial 16S ribosomal RNA". It matches the Rfam family "Bacterial small subunit ribosomal RNA", at positions 28 to 507 of the family's 1533-position model. The record is from RNAcentral.
GACGAACGCUGGCGGUGUGCUUAACACAUGCAAGUCGAACGGUAAGGCCCUUUCGGGGGUACACGAGUGGCGAACGGGUGAGUAACACGUGAGUAACCUGCCCUCAUCUCUGGGAUAACAGUCGGAAACGGUUGCUAAUACUGGAUAUGAGCUUGCAAGGCAUCUUGUGGGUUGGAAAGAUUUUUUUGGUUGGGGAUGGACUCGCGGCCUAUCAGCUUGUUGGUGAGGUAGUGGCUCACCAAGGCUUCGACGGGUAGCCGGCCUGAGAGGGCGACCGGCCACAUUGGGACUGAGAUACGGCCCAAACGCCUACGGGAGGCAGCGGUGGGGAAUAUUGCACAAUGGACGGAAGUCUGAUGCAGCAACGCCGCGUGCGGGAUGACGGCCUUCGGGUUGUAAACCGCUUUCAAUUGUGACGAAGCUUUUUGUGACGGUAGCAGUAGAAGAAGCACCGGCUAACUACGUG